RNAcentral lists this long non-coding RNA (419 nucleotides) under Danio rerio (zebrafish). RNAcentral's name for it is "si:ch211-232f6.3 (ENSDARG00000103074.2)". The record is from RNAcentral. Lineage: Eukaryota; Metazoa; Chordata; Actinopteri; Cypriniformes; Danionidae.
GCCUUUUGUUAUUUAACACACCCCUUUCCCCGAAAAGAUUCUUGGAUUUACUACUUAAGGGAACGUUUCUAAACGUUCGAUUCUGUUACCCAGAUCAGCCCAUUUCGUGGAACUUCAUGUUCCAUGUUAUGUAUAUUUUGAAGUCAGCUUUAAUGACCUCAAACCAGCCUUAAACCUACCGAUACCACCAAACAUGUUCCUAUACCCAUAUCCCACCAGAAGUGUUCUGCAAUACAUUAUGCACACGAUUCACUACCUAUGUUUACUUACAACAAGAAGGUGAAAAAUAAAGAUGACUACAUCUUAUUGACUGACUUCAGAAGUUCUGGACUCUUAUUGCAGUUUUCAUUGGCAAUCGGCAUAAUACUGACAACUCUACUCUACAAAUCACAUUUGAUGCUUUGUUGAAAAUACUUAUU